Molecule: ribosomal RNA, 469 nt
Filed under: uncultured bacterium
Lineage: Bacteria
Description: partial 16S ribosomal RNA
Rfam family: Bacterial small subunit ribosomal RNA
Source: RNAcentral
GACGAACGCUGGCGGCGUGCUUAACACAUGCAAGUCGAACGGAAAGGCCCUGCUUGCAGGGUGCUCGAGUGGCGAACGGGUGAGUAACACGGGGGUGAGCUGCCCCGUAUGUUGGGAUAAGCCUGGGAAACUGGGUCUAAUACUGGAGAGGACCAUGCUGUAGGGGGUGUGGUGGGGAGAUUGGUUUCGGGAAGGGGUGAGCUCGCGGCCUAUCAGCUUGUGGGUGGGGUAAUGGCCUACCAAGGCGUCGACGGGUAGCCGGCCUGAGAGGGUGGACGGCCACAUUGGGACUGAGAUGCGGGCCAGACUCCUACGGGAGGCAGCAGUGGGGAAUAUUGCACAAUGGGCGCAAGCCUGAUGCAGCGACGCCGCGUGGGGGAUGACGGCCUUCGGGUUGUAAACUCCUUUCAGCCAUGACGAAGCCCUUGUGGUGACGGUAGUGGUAGAAGAAGCACCGGCUAACUACGUG